RNAcentral lists this long non-coding RNA (2877 nucleotides) under Sus scrofa (pig). Its description in RNAcentral is "lncRNA (ENSSSCG00005039673.1)". Lineage: Eukaryota; Metazoa; Chordata; Mammalia; Artiodactyla; Suidae. The record is from RNAcentral.
UUUUUUUUUUUAAUAAAAAAGCUCUCUAAACUAUGUAAUUUUAGGCUACAUAAAACCUAGAUUCAUCCCUGGAAGAAAGAGUCUUAAAUACAUAUUGAAGCACCUUUAGCCAUCCCAGACAAAAGUCAGGGUUAACUCCAACAGACCAUGACAAAAGUCAGGGUUAACUCCAACAGCAAAUCUGUGAGCCAAAACUUCCCUUUUCUUUUCUCUUGGAAUAUUCUGAAUUUGGUUUUAUCCCACUUACAACUGAAGGGUAGCAGAAUAUGCUGCCCCAAAGUAUGACUCUUUGGCAUAAGGAUUAUUUUAAGAAACAGUAGAUAAAGGAGAAGCUCUGAAAAUAGUGAAGUUACCUUUUUGAAAGAGUCAUUUACAUUUAUAAAGGAAAUCUCCAUUUGUAGGUAGCUCCCUCUCUAUACCAGGAAGAGAAGGAUGACUAAACCACAAGAGAAUCUUAUCAGUGGAGAAGGUAUUCAUUCAAUCUAUAUAGAACAAACUUACUCUUGUUUACCUUGCUUUUCCUAUUAAAAUCCCAUACCUGUCCACUACUGCCCUCCUUACCUUUCUUUUGUCUUUAGCUGAAGAUGUUAUUUAAGGUAGUACAUGGGCUACCUCAAGGAAUUACUCCAUUUUCCUGGAUAUCUCCCAUAUAUAUGUGAGGUAUAAAUGUUAAUAAAUUUCUGUGUGUUCUCUCCUGUUAACAUUUAUUACAGGAGUUCCCGUGGUGGUUAAUGACUGCAACUAGGAACCAUGAGCCAGGACGGGAACUCCUCUUAUGCAUCUUUUAGAAAUGACUAGUUUAAAAGUGAAUAGCUUCGAGCUCUUACUUGUGCUUCUCCCUGGCUUAACUGUACCCUAAACACAAUAACCAGUGAAAGACAGAUUAGGCACUCUGAGCACAACUGCUUAUGGGUCAAAGAUUAUAAGUACAUGAUUUUUUUUUUUUUUUAGGACUUUCCUAGAUUGCCCUAAUCUCUGAAUAAUAUGCUCUUUUACCAAGUGUUUUUAUUUUAGGAAAAAUCGAGAUAAUUCAGAAGACCACCAAGAUCAUGCUGAGAUCUCAUGACACCAACUUUGAUGACUGAAGAUUUCUUCCAAAGAAAGAAGAAUGCAUAUUUGCGCUCAACCCUGAUAUUUAUCUAGAACCUUGUUUUCCUACUUUUUACUAUAAAACUCCCCACAAUUCUUCCCAAUCGAGGGCACAGUCUUUAAUGCAUUAGACUAUUGUGGCCUCUUUUGCCUGGCAAAGCAAUAAAAGCUAUUCUUUUCUCCUUUACCCAAAACUCUGUCUCUGCAUUUCUAUUCAGCACCGGUGGAGAGAAGCUAAGUUUUGGUAAUACUACUAUCAAGAAACAAGUCAAAAAAAGAAAGAAUGUGAGAUAUAAUACACUUAACCUGAGGGCUGAAGCUCAAGUGUGCUGGGCUUCUAGUUGGAAGCAGUGUGGCAGAACAGUGGUCAUCCUAGACUCUGGAGUCAGAUCAUAUUUGGAAUCGAAUUCUGUCAUAAUUAUUGGGUAACUAGGGCUAGUUACUGAACCUCCCCGAACCCCAGUUUCCUCAUCUGCAAAAUGGUGACAAUCACAUACGUUACAGGAAUUAUGUGAGGAAAUGGAUAUAAAGCACUUAGCACAGACCCAGGCUCAAAACAAAGCACUCAGUAUGUAGAAGUGAUUGCUAUUAUUACUACCAUUAUUAACAAUUGUCACAGAACAUCAUCUUGGUUAAAUAGACACUAAGCUUGGGGGGUAUGAAAUCACUCUGAGGAAAGAGAGACUUGGAGAAAACACAACUUGCCUGGUACUUUGGUCAAAACAUUCAUUUGUCUGACUUUAUACUGGUGGUAUUGGAAUGUCUAUUGUGAAGAUGAUAGAGCCUGAGUAGGAUCCGAAAUCACAACAGAAAGGCAAGCAUAACCUUCUUGGUUGUAAUAAGCAACUUGUUAAUAUUUGGACGAAUAGACUUCUCUGCUUUGGACUUUUCUACUCAAAAUGUGGCCCAUGGACCAGAAUAUCAUGGUAACUUCUUAUAAUCUCAGGCCCCAUCCCUAAUCUACUGAACCAGAAUUUUAACCAGAUCCCUAGGUGAUUUGUAUGCACAUUAAAGCUUGAAAAGCACCUCUGUAGACCACAAAAUUUAAUGUACAGCUAACCCAUUUUGGAUGUGUUUCUGUGAUCUUUGCUGUAUAAUAAACCUCUCUAAAAUGUGGUGACUUAAAACAAUAAGAAUAAGAAUGAUUUACUGUCCCUACUUCUUCAAUUUGUGCAGGGCUCAAUGGGACAGCUCAUCACUCCACUCCACAUGGUGCUGACUGAGGCAGUCCAGCUGGGACUGCAAGAUCCAAGUUGACUUCCCCUGCCCUCCAUGCUCCUCAACUAGCAGCUGGCUAGGCCUCCCCCCUCAUCUUUGUAGACCUCCAGGUGCUCUUUCCCAGUAGCCUCUCUUGCUGCAUAAUCAGACUUUUUAAAGAGAUGGCACAGGGCUCCAAAGAGUGUUAUCUUCAGCCAUCCUAAAGUCUAGAUCCAGAACUGCCACAGUGUUAUCUUGCUAUUUUCUACUAGUCAAAGCAAGUCAAAAGAUCAACUCAAACUCAAGGCGGGGUGGGUGGGAGGAAGGGAAAUAACUUCAUCUCUUGAUGGGAGAAGAGGCAUAUAUGACAGGAAUGGAAGAAUUUGUUGGGAACCAUCUUUUCAGACCAGUUAUCCCAGGGUGUCUGUUCCCUUUUCACUUCCUUCCUUACCCUGUUCUUAUGAUUGGUAAUAUAUCCACUUCAUUUCAAUUACACGACUAUAUACAUGCCCACAGUGGGAACACAAGGAAUUUUAAGGCCUGCUAUCUCCCCUUAAGGACCUUGUUAAAAGCAAAUUGGUAAAACAAGGC